Chiloscyllium plagiosum (whitespotted bambooshark) is the source of this 1324-nucleotide non-coding RNA. The record is from RefSeq and is a predicted model, not a curated record. Lineage: Eukaryota; Metazoa; Chordata; Chondrichthyes; Orectolobiformes; Hemiscylliidae.
AGUCUAUUAUUUAAUUAUUGACUUCGGACUUGUUCACAAUGCAUUUUUUAAAAAGAAUUCUUGUUCUGCAGCACCCGCAACAAAUCCAAGCAGUUCUUUGUGUCGAUUUUUUCCAGAUUGCAAAAAGGUCGAGUGCCCUUUUAUCCACCCAAAGCCAUGUCGAUUCAGCACCCACUGUAAGAGAGCUGACUGCACAUUCUACCAUCCUGCAGUUACAUUACCUCCUCGCCAUGCAUUAAAAUGGACCAGGCCUCAACAAAAUGGUGAAUGAUCGAUUUGGAUCGUGCUUGAUCGCAUAUUGUGGAUAUAAGGCUGCAAAUGUUUGAAGAUGUAGCAUUUUACAAUUUUGUAUUAUUUUUCAAUAUUGUUUAACAUUGAAAGUCAAAAAGAUUUUGAUGUUAAAAAUAACUUUCUCCCCAGUGUGAAUUGCUUGAUCAUUUUUCCCAUACAUAGAUGCAGCCUCACUAAGGUUAUUCAGUGGUGGGUUUUAAAGAUACAUUUUGUAACUUGUUUUGUGCUGUUCUAGAGUUUUCUACUGGAUGAUGAAAUAUCCAAAGAGAAAUGCCAUUGUCUGAUGUAACAUCCCUUUUGUUAAAAAAAAUUCUACAGUAAAAAUUGAUUUAAGGCACUUGUUUAAUGAAUCAGUUACUGUUGUAUUGUUUAUUUGUAAUUCCUGUAUUUAGGGUCACUUACAUUGGUCAUACUUGUCAUUCAGCAAUGUUUUUUAAAUUAGUCAUAGAUUAACAUUGUAAUUAGUGUUAAAUCCCUUUGAUUGUAAUUGUUCUACAGAAACAAUAACUAUUUACAGAGGAACUUCGAAAUUCAGAUAGUUUGAAUCGGGAUUAUCCGAAUAAGAUCGCAAGGUCCCGAUUCUUGGCUAAACUGUGUUAUCUGGCAUUCGAUUAUCCGAACAAAAUACUCCCCAUCCGUGUCAUUGGGAUAGUCGAGGUUCCUCUAUUCUUCUUGAACACUGAACUUUACCACUGUCCAAAAGGGAUCCAGUUAUGCCACACUAUGGCCCAGGAAUUUGAAACCACAGCAGUUGAAAUUUAAGGCACAACACUUCCUGAAACUAUUUUUGUGACAGAAAAAAACAAUCAACUUGAAUAUUAUUUUAUAAGCUAUAUUUUAUUUCCAUUGGGUUUUGAAAUCAGUUUUUAAAAAAAUUAUUCAGGUUGGGAAUUGUCUGGUGCCUUGAAAUAUGGUUAAGUGCAGUAACUAAGUUGCAUGUUUGUCUUGGCUUCACCUGGCUCCUCAUUUGAAGUUAGUUAUUGAAAUGAUGGCAUUAUUUGCAAAUGAAAGAACUCUGUUUUUUGUUACAAAA